GAUUAAGCCAUGCAUGUGUAAGUGUAAAUAUUUAUGUUUGGAACUUGCGAAUGGCUCAUUUAUAUCAGUUAUAGUUUAUUUGGUGAAGUGUACUACUUGGAUAACCGUAGUAAUUCUAGGGCUAAUACAUGAGAAAGUCCUCUGGUGAGGUGUGUUUAUUAGAAUGAAAACCAUAUGCUUCGGCAUGAUAGUGAGUAAUAGUAACCUAUCCUAUCGCAUGCUUAAUGUAGCGAUGAGUCUUUCUUGUUUCUGCCCUAUCUGCUUUCGAUGGUAGUAUAUGGGCCUACCAUG
Molecule: ribosomal RNA, 291 nt
Filed under: Blastocystis hominis
Lineage: Eukaryota; Bigyra; Opalinata; Blastocystidae
Description: partial 18S ribosomal RNA
Rfam family: Eukaryotic small subunit ribosomal RNA
Source: RNAcentral